This 240-nucleotide unclassified non-coding RNA is filed under the name soil metagenome. RNAcentral describes it as "partial contains 5.8S ribosomal RNA, internal transcribed spacer 2, and large subunit ribosomal RNA". The record is from RNAcentral.
AACAUCGCGCACCUGCGGGAACCUGCGGAGGGAUCAUUAACACUCCAAAUUUAAAAGAUCUCCAACUCGUCAAGAGUUGGGGCUCUUUUAAAACCCCCCUCUUUAUCCUCCGAGGAGGAUAAAGAGUACUUUAAGGCCCAAGUCUCUCUUGGGCAACUCUUAUCUUAUUAAAGAGGUAUAUCUCAUUGAAGGGGACCUCCUUUGAGGGGGUUCUCUAAAAUGGGGUAUAUGAACCCCUUU